Molecule: transfer RNA, 68 nt
Filed under: Streptomyces xanthochromogenes
Lineage: Bacteria; Bacillati; Actinomycetota; Actinomycetes; Kitasatosporales; Streptomycetaceae
Also listed under: 1 other name
Description: tRNA-Trp
Rfam family: tRNA (bases 1-56)
About the family: Transfer RNA (tRNA) molecules are approximately 80 nucleotides in length. Their secondary structure includes four short double-helical elements and three loops (D, anti-codon, and T loops).
Source: RNAcentral
AGGGGUGCAGCUCAGUUGGCCAGAGCGCCGGUCUCCAAAACCGGAUGCCACCCCUUCAACCCCUGCCA